RNAcentral lists this ribosomal RNA (778 nucleotides) under uncultured bacterium. Its description in RNAcentral is "bacterial SSU rRNA". It matches the Rfam family "Bacterial small subunit ribosomal RNA", at positions 52 to 824 of the family's 1533-position model. The record is from RNAcentral.
UACCAUGCAGUCGAGCGGAGAUGAGGUGCUUGCACCUUAUCUUAGCGGCGGACGGGUGAGUAAUGCUUAGGAAUCUGCCUAUUAGUGGGGGACAACAUUUCGAAAGGAAUGCUAAUACCGCAUACGUCCUACGGGAGAAAGCAGGGGAUCUUCGGACCUUGCGCUAAUAGAUGAGCCUAAGUCGGAUUAGCUAGUUGGUGGGGUAAAGGCCUACCAAGGCGACGAUCUGUAGCGGGUCUGAGAGGAUGAUCCGCCACACUGGGACUGAGACACGGCCCAGACUCCUACGGGAGGCAGCAGUGGGGAAUAUUGGACAAUGGGGGGAACCCUGAUCCAGCCAUGCCGCGUGUGUGAAGAAGGCCUUAUGGUUGUAAAGCACUUUAAGCGAGGAGGAGGCUACUGAGACUAAUACUCUUGGAUAGUGGACGUUACUCGCAGAAUAAGCACCGGCUAACUCUGUGCCAGCAGCCGCGGUAAUACAGAGGGUGCGAGCGUUAAUCGGAUUUACUGGGCGUAAAGCGUGCGUAGGCGGCUUUUUAAGUCGGAUGUGAAAUCCCCGAGCUUAACUUGGGAAUUGCAUUCGAUACUGGGAAGCUAGAGUAUGGGAGAGGAUGGUAGAAUUCCAGGUGUAGCGGUGAAAUGCGUAGAGAUCUGGAGGAAUACCGAUGGCGAAGGCAGCCAUCUGGCCUAAUACUGACGCUGAGGUACGAAAGCAUGGGGAGCAAACAGGAUUAGAUACCCUGGUAGUCCAUGCCGUAAACGAUGUCUACUAGCCGUU